Molecule: long non-coding RNA, 2415 nt
Organism: Camelus dromedarius (Arabian camel)
Lineage: Eukaryota; Metazoa; Chordata; Mammalia; Artiodactyla; Camelidae
Exons: 3
Source: RefSeq, a predicted model, not a curated record
GUCUUCCGCCACUGACUUCCGGUUCCUGUGUGCUUCACCCAAAAGGGCCCGGCCUUUCAGCGGAAAGGUUCGGGUGGAAGCGGCGUUCCGGCCAGUUCGCCAAGGAUAGAGUCCAGGAAAGCGCAAAGCGAGCAGCAAGUCACUGUGACCCCCUACAGAGCUGGGUGAUCUGGACGCUACCAAGUAGAAUAUAUCAAAAAUCUAUCCCUGGUUUCCCAACAUCCCUCCUAGAGGCAAAGGAGUUCAAUGGCUACAUUCAAACUCUGGAACCAGUCAGUCUUGUGUUUUAACACUGUGUCCAGUCUUGGCAAACUAACAACAUCAACUGGGGCAAGUGACGUCACCUCUCCAAGCCUCUUCAGACGCCUCCAGAGUGCAUGAGGGACUCAGGACAUAAUUAUAUCCCUUAUAAUGUCUAGCACAUUGCCUGGCACGUAUAGGGAUUCCGUGUUUGUUAAAAAAAAAUUAAUGAAUGAUUACAUAUAUAACAUCCCAAAGGUUAAUUUUGUUUAGGAAGAGCAUUAAAAAUUCGUGCUGCACAGCUUCAUGGCCUUGAGAUGGGCACAUUGCUAAAACAGGAGAUGAAAAGCAUUAACCAUAAAGGAAAAAAAUAGACAAAUUAGACCUCUUUUAAGAACGUCUCUUUGUUAAAAGACACCAGUGAAAAGGCAAGCCCAAGCCCGAGAGAGAAAGAAGAUAUUUGCUAUACAUGUAACAAAGAACUUGUAUCUAGACUGGACUUAAAGUACCUACAAAUUAAUAAGAAAAAGGCAAGCAAACCGACUGAAAAAAUGGACCUAAGACUUGGAUAGGUAUUUUACUUCAAGAAGCUAUUCUAAUGACCAAUGGACCAGAUGAAAACGUGCUCACCUUUAUGAGUCACCAGGGAAACGCAAAUUAAAACCCACACUGUGAUACCAUUACACACCUGUGGGAAUAGUGAAGGACAAAAAGAUGAUACUGAGUGAUCUGUGGAUCGGCAGGGACGUGGGACUCUCAUGCGUGCUGAUGGAAGCAUGGACUGGUAGGAUGGUAGAAUCUCCUGGGGAGACCAUUUGGCAGUGUCUCCAGAAGCUGAACCUACACCUACAAGAUGACCACAGCAGUCCCACCUGUUGGUAUCUAUUCAACAGAAUGCAAACAUACGUGCGCUGAAAGACAUGUAAUAGGUUGAACUGUAUGUAUAAAAUUGCUGACAUCUGACAGCUGUUGAUUUACAAAAACUGCAAUUUCAUACGGUUAAACCUAAUACUAGAAUGUUCAUAGCAGCAUUAUUCAUACUAGCCAAAAUCGGAAAUAUCUCAAAUGUCAAAAGUCUAUGCAUCUGUUGAACGAACUUCAGCUACACCCAGCAAUGGAUGUAUUGGAAUGGAUGAAUCAAAUACGUGGAUGAAUCUCACAAACAUAAUGUUGAGCGAAAGAAGCCACAUACUGAUGUAAAGUACAAAAGCAGAUAAAAUGAUUCAAGGUGAUAAAAAUUCAUCAAACUGUGGGCUUAUUAUUUGGGCACUUUUCUGUAUGUUUGAUACACUUCAAUGAAAAUUUCCUUAAAAGUUUAAUUCUCCAAGUCAUUUGAAUUAGAUAGGCAUUGCAUUAGAUUUGAAUGUUUACUUAGUGAUAUGAUCUACUUUAUUUAGUCCUCAAAGAUGCUCACCUCCUCAAACGUAGCCAGGACUCCCACGAAAGGGCUGCCAGUUCUUGGAUAGAUUAUUCAGGCUGGAGCACACGACAUAUCUGAUUGCUCCCCCUUCCCCAGUGUUACUUUGUGGAGGAAAUAUAAUUGGUCCUUAGUCUGGGAUAAGUUUUGGACUUUUUCCCCCCUACUUUUAGCUUACCUUUUAGUUGUUUUUUUUUUUUCAGUAUUGCAUACAAUUAAAUUAGGCAAAUUAUCAAAAUAAAAACAGCAUACACAAAUUGAGAACUGGAAUCAGAAUUGGGCUCAUACUCCAACCCUGCAACAUAUUAUAAAUGUGUAUCUCAGUUUACUUCUGCAAGAACAGUCUUCUCUUCUGCAAAAUAAAGCUCACAGUACCAGUCUUACAAGGUACUUGUAAAAAGGAAAUUAUGUAAAUGAUUGGUGAGAUAGAAAAUGUUAUACAGGGAGAGAUGGUAUUAAUUGGACAAUUGAUUACAUAGAUUGAGAUGAAAUGUAAUUAAGAAAUGAACUCAAGAGGAAAAAUACCCAGACACUUUAUAAAAGAAUCCUUUAUGUGAUUGAUUUAGGUAUAACUAACGGAAAUAGAAGUUUUAGACUUUUGAACCUAAUUUUAAAACUCUAGUUCAAUAGAGUGGCACCCCAAUGUUCAAAUCAAAUUUCCAACAGAUGUCACCCUAAUCCCUUCAAUUGUCGUUGUGACUAACCCUCUGGCUAGUCACUCAGUGCUCCAGGUAAUGAUAUAAAAAGUAAGCACUCGA